GACGAACGCUGGCGGCGUGCUUAACACAUGCAAGUCGAACGAUGAAGCUGGAGCUUGCUCUAGCGGAUUAGUGGCGAACGGGUGAGUAACACGUGAGCAAUCUGCCCUUGACUCUGGGAUAACUGCGGGAAACUGUAGCUAAUACCGGAUACUUUCACCGGGGGGCAUCCUCUGGUGAUGAAAGAAUUUCGGUCAAGGAUGAGCUCGCGGCCUAUCAGCUUGUUGGGGAGGGAACGGCUCACCAAGGCGACGACGGGUAACCGGCCUGAGAGGGUGACCGGUCACACUGGGACUGAGACACGGCCCAGACUCCUACGGGAGGCAGGAGGGGGGAAUAUUGCACAAUGGGCGCAAGCCUGAUGCAGCAACGCCGCGUGAGGGAUGAAGGCCUUCGGGUUGUAAACCUCUUUUAGCAGGGAAGAAGCGAAAGUGACGGUACCUGCAGAAAAAGCACCGGCUAACUACGUGCCAGCCGCCGCUGUAA
This 484-nucleotide ribosomal RNA is filed under the name uncultured bacterium. Its description in RNAcentral is "partial 16S ribosomal RNA". It matches the Rfam family "Bacterial small subunit ribosomal RNA", at positions 28 to 523 of the family's 1533-position model. The record is from RNAcentral.